GCCAAAAAGUGGAGAAAUUGGAAAUCUUUUGUGAAAACAAACUAUUAUGAUCCAAAUGUAUCUCUUGUUGAACAAAUGAAAAAUGUUCCUGAAAGAGUUCAUGAAGACCAAUGGAAGGAGUUGGUAACUUUUUGGAAUUCUGAUGCAUCAAAGAGAGUUAGUGAUAGAAAUAAAGUGAGUCGAGGACAUCAAAAAAUGGUACACCGAAAGGGUAAGAUGAGUUUCGCUAGAGUGGCAGAGAAAAAGAAAAAGGAACUUGGCUAUUACCCAUCACGCUCUACCUUGUUCAUUGAGUGUUACUCAAAAGGUGAAACUCCGGGAAAUGAGGCAGC
Molecule: long non-coding RNA, 332 nt
Organism: Diospyros lotus (date-plum)
Lineage: Eukaryota; Viridiplantae; Streptophyta; Magnoliopsida; Ericales; Ebenaceae
Exons: 3
Source: RefSeq, a predicted model, not a curated record